GUCCGAGUGGCGAAAUGGUAGCCGCGUUGGUCUUAGGAACCAAUGAGCAAAGCUCGUGUCAGUUCGAAUCUGACCUCGGAUA
RNAcentral lists this transfer RNA (82 nucleotides) under Caudoviricetes sp. RNAcentral's name for it is "tRNA-Leu". It matches the Rfam family "tRNA". From Rfam's summary of the family: Transfer RNA (tRNA) molecules are approximately 80 nucleotides in length. The record is from RNAcentral. Lineage: Duplodnaviria; Heunggongvirae; Uroviricota; Caudoviricetes.